GGACACCAUGGAAGGUAUACACUCUCCCUCUCCCUACUGUACUACUGCUCGUUGUGUCCAUGACCAUUGAGCCACGCUAGGUUCUAUGCUGUUGUCGAUGCAAAUUUAUAAGACUUGGGGAUGUAGGCUUUAGUAGAUAUAUUUAGCAAUAAAUAAAUAUGUCGGUUGACACAAAACUGUUUGACUGUAGGUGUACAAAAUUAGCAAUGGAUCUCUAGGCUGGUGAUGACCAUGUAAAUUCGUUUCAGUGGAUUUGGGGCUGUACGUUUGUUCCAAAGCAUGGUGAGCACAUGUAGGUUUGUUUAUUUCCUGUUGGAUGACUGAAACCAACUAGAGCUAAAUGUUUUGGUUCAGUUUCCGAUGACAAACUAUUUUGGUUCAGUUUGCUAAUUAAAUGGAGAAGAGAAGAGAAGUAGUACUGUCACUCACAUUGCCUUUGAAUGCACAACAGCGCUUAGGCUACUGUUCAUAUAAUGUUAUUGAGCCAUGUUGUUCUGCAGGCUAUGUCAUAUAUUGUGGCGUCUGGAUUAGUAAACACUCAUGCCGGCAUAUUUUCAGAAUCAUAACAGGGACGUAGUUUGCUACAGUUCUAAGUUAUGAUCCUAAAUUUAAACUUGAUGGUGCUCAAAUUAAAGUACAUUUUGGGCAGUGUAAUACAACACUUGCGAAAACUGAAGAUUUGGUACAGAGUCGCAAAAACUGCAAAACUAUUGGUAAUGCAGAAAAAAUAUAUUGCAUGGCCUUCAACCUUUGUACGUGUCUAAUAUCCUGCCUUUAUCACUACUUGCAUCAUGUCAAUGCAUUAUGUGUUAACAAUUCAUUUUGUUAUUUUCUUUGCUGAUUGAAAAGGUAUAUGGAUGAUUAUAUGGGUGCGUAACAAGUAUACUGCAACGAUGAUGAUGAUAUUCUGGUUCAUGAUGAUGGAUGCUUUCAAUUUUAGUUAAGUUGUGGGACGUUCCUGUUGGACGAUGUUCC
RNAcentral lists this long non-coding RNA (975 nucleotides) under Triticum aestivum (bread wheat). Its description in RNAcentral is "long non-coding RNA (TAES_LNC011290)". The record is from RNAcentral. Lineage: Eukaryota; Viridiplantae; Streptophyta; Magnoliopsida; Poales; Poaceae.